This 406-nucleotide ribosomal RNA is filed under the name uncultured bacterium. Its description in RNAcentral is "partial 16S ribosomal RNA". It matches the Rfam family "Bacterial small subunit ribosomal RNA", at positions 30 to 526 of the family's 1533-position model. The record is from RNAcentral.
AUUGAACGCUAGCGGCAGGCCUAACACAUGCAAGUCGAACGAGUGGCGGACGGGUGAGUAAUGUCUGGGAACCUGCCCGAUGGAGGGGGAUAACUACUGGAAACGGUAGCUAAUACCGCAUACCAUCGGAUGUGCCCAGAUGGGCUUAGCUAGUAGGUGGGGUAACGGCUCACCGAGGCGACGAUCCAUAGCUGGUCUGAGAGGAUGACCAGCCACACUGGAACUGAGACACGGUCCAGACUCCUACGGGAGGCAGCAGGGGGGAAUAUUGCACAAUGGGCGCAAGCCUGAUGCAGCCAUGCCGCGUGUAUGAAGAAGGCCUUCGGGUUGUAAAGUACUUUCAGCGGGGAGGCGUUACCCGCAGAAGAAGCAUCGGCUAACUCCGUGCCAGCAGCCGCGGUAAUAC